This 301-nucleotide ribosomal RNA is filed under the name uncultured bacterium. RNAcentral describes it as "partial 16S ribosomal RNA". It matches the Rfam family "Bacterial small subunit ribosomal RNA", at positions 509 to 807 of the family's 1533-position model. The record is from RNAcentral.
CAGUCGCCGCGGUAAUACGAAGGGGGCUAGCGUUGUUCGGAAUUACUGGGCGUAAAGCGCACGUAGGCGGAUACUUAAGUUAGGGGUGAAAUCCCAGGGCUCAACCCUGGAACUGCCUUUAAUACUGGGUAUCUUGAGUUCGAGAGAGGUAAGUGGAAUUCCGAGUGUAGAGGUGAAAUUCGUAGAUAUUCGGAGGAACACCAGUGGCGAAGGCGGCUUACUGGCUCGAUACUGACGCUGAGGUGCGAAAGCGUGGGGAGCAAACAGGAUUAGAUACCCCUGUAGUCCCUGUCUCUUAUAC